This 868-nucleotide long non-coding RNA is filed under the name Equus caballus (horse). Its description in RNAcentral is "lncRNA (ENSECAG00000045766.1)". The record is from RNAcentral. Lineage: Eukaryota; Metazoa; Chordata; Mammalia; Perissodactyla; Equidae.
CAACCAGGAAGUUCCCUCUCCAACUUCAAGGCAGCAAAAUUGAAUGCUGGGAGCCCUGGGCACAGCUGAGGCUAAGAUUCGGAGAGAGCAAAUCUAGCCGGAGCCCAAAGGGAGGAAUGCCAGGGAAUUUCUGAAGUGGCUUAUUUCCCAGGGUUAUUGUGAAGUAAGUGAGACAAUAUAUAUAUAAAUGCUUUCUUUAUUGUAAAGGGUGAAAUAGUUCAGUGGUUUAGGGCACAGAUUCUGCAAUCAAGUUCCCUGAGUUUAAAUCUUGGCUCUGUUGCUUUUCUGGCUGGGUGACCUCAGAUGAGGACACUGAGGAGGAGAAGGGUUGAGUACCCUGGUCAAGAUCUCAGAGGUGACAUAUGGCAGAGCCCAGUCAGGUCUAAACCCAAGACUGAUUGUCUUCCAACUGGCAAGUCUACAGCUUUAAUCUCAAUGCACAGCCAUAUUUAAGAUCAUGUAACGACCUUUACAUGGCUUUAUAUGGCUUCUUUGCUUUCUCAAAGUCAAAGAUAUUCGUGGAAUCAUGGAAUGAAGACCCAGAAUUGGUGUCUCUCAGGCCAGCAACAUUUGAUUCUACUUUUUUCUGCCAGCUUUAUUGAGGAGUUUUAUGGCUGCAGGACUUUUAUGGUUCAAGGCUUUAAUCCAUUUUCAGUUAAGUUUUGUGUAUGGUAGAAGAUAGGAGUCCAGUUUCAUCCUUUUGAAUGUGGAUGUCAAGUUUUUCCGGCACCAUUUAUUGAAGAGACUAUCCUUUCCCCCUUGUGUAUCUGUGGCACCUUUGUCAAAAAAUAAUUGACCAUAUUUGAAUGACUGUAUUUAUUUUUGAACGUUUUCUCGAAGGAGCAAGAAAAAUAAAAAUUGUGGAAUA